GCAGUAGCCGCGGUAAUACGUAGGUGGCAAGCGUUGUCCGGAAUUAUUGGGCGUAAAGGGCUCACAGGCGGUUUCUUAAGUCUGAUGUGAAAGCCCCCGGCUCAACCGGGGAGGGUCAUUGGAAACUGGGAAACUUGAGUGCAGAAGAGGAGAGUGGAAUUCCACGUGUAGCGGUGAAAUGCGUAGAGAUGUGGAGGAACACCAGUGGCGAAGGCGACUCUCUGGUCUGUAACUGACGCUGAGGAGCGAAAGCGUGGGGAGCGAACAGGAUUAGAUACCCCCGUAGUCCCUGUCUCUUAUAC
This 302-nucleotide ribosomal RNA is filed under the name uncultured bacterium. RNAcentral describes it as "partial 16S ribosomal RNA". It matches the Rfam family "Bacterial small subunit ribosomal RNA", at positions 508 to 807 of the family's 1533-position model. The record is from RNAcentral.